This is a long non-coding RNA of Populus trichocarpa (black cottonwood), 398 nucleotides long. RefSeq lists it as uncharacterized. Lineage: Eukaryota; Viridiplantae; Streptophyta; Magnoliopsida; Malpighiales; Salicaceae. The record is from RefSeq and is a predicted model, not a curated record. The transcript is spliced from 3 exons.
CAGAAAUUAUGCUUUUUUAGCAAUCCAGAAAAAGAAAAAAGAUAAUCAUUGAGAAUUUGUCGUUUCAAUCCCACCUAGGAACUUGAAGACCAACUAGUUUACGUACUCGUGUCAAAUUUACCUCCAGGAUGAUGGUGAUGAAGUAGCAUGGCACACCUACAAAGGGCAGCUUACAGAGAAGCAGGAGAAAACCCGUGACAAAAUAAUAAAAAGUGCUGAAUAAAACUGUGCAGCUCGGAAAGGAACUAUCCUCUCUACAAUCUGAACUGGGCAGGAUCUUGUUUCUACUGAAGAUUGCUGACCCAUCAGGAGAAGCUGAUCAGAAAACGAUUCGCAAGUGAAGGAUAAGAAACCUGAUAAAACAGAGGUGCCUGUUUCUGCCACCAAAAAGCAACCAC